ACGGAACAUAGUCAGCGCUUGUAAACAAAGCGUGCAGUCUGUCCGAGCACCACACGGAGAUCACGUGAAUAAUUCCACACCUGCGGUUACCUUUUUGCAACGCGUUCACUUCCUUAUCGAGGGCUAUGAGCUAAUCCCUAAUCGCGAUGCUUCGGCGAGGGAUCAAUGGAUCAUUUGUAUUGUUCCAAGCACACGGGAUCGGGAAAAAAUCGUUAGAUGAGCCGACGAAUGGGAGCUAGCGCGAGACGCAGAUGACCGCGAUGUCCUCGAGUUCAUAAAUUCACUUGAUUCAUCUCACAGAAAUAUAUUUGUUGAAAAUUAUCGGAGAAAUUGAAUUCUUUGCGAUCCCGGGAGAUAGCCUACGAUUUUUCGCGCCUCCCUGAGGAGAGGGGAUACGAGACUCGCUCGGCUUUGACCUAAUAAAUAGACCGCUUUGUCCAACAGGAGCCAAUUUUCGCGCGGCAAACGUUCCCGGUUGGAGCCAUACGGAUUCUCCGCUCGUUGACGCACUCGAACAACUUCGCGAACGCUUUCGUCGACAAAGUUUAUAAAUUCGGGUGAUUCGUUGCCGAAACAUGGCUGGCCGAAAGGAACUCGAUCGCUGUUACGAUUUCGUGAUGAAUCUUACCAUCGAAUCGGCGAAGAUUAUACGCGAAGCGUUCCGAGGAAUGAAAAACGUCGAGACCAAAGCCGGCGAUUGGGACCUGGUCACCCAGUACGACAGAAAAGUCGAGCAAGUUCUCAUUGCUGGUCUCGCCAAGGAAUUUCCUAAUCACAAAUUCAUCGGAGAAGAAACGGUUUCGAGUUCGAAACAUUUGCCAGCAUUGACCGACGCGCCGACGUGGAUCAUCGAUCCGAUCGACGGUACGACCAAUUUCGUGCACUCCUUCCCCCACACCUGCAUUUCGAUAGCUCUCGUCGUAAAUAAGCAAUUGGAAAUUGGAAUAGUGUACAAUCCGUUGUUGGAGCAAAUGUUCACAGCGAGGCGUGGCCAGGGAGCUUUCCUCAAUGGGAAACCCAUCAGAAGCUCUGACGUCGUUGACGUGAGGAAUUCCCUGAUCUGCAUCGAGGCUUCGUACGCGACGAUCGAAUCGAUCAGGGACAUCGUCCUAGGGAGAUUGGAAGCAUUCGUGUCAGUCGCCCAUGGGAUAAGGACCCUCGGAUCUGCUGCACUGACGCUGUGCUACGUGGCGAUGGGAGCAGCCGAGGCUUAUCACUCCGACAACCUCAUGCCAUGGGACGUGGCUGCUGGGACUCUCAUAAUACGAGAAGCUGGAGGAAAUGUGGUCGAUACUCGAGGCGGAGAGUUCGAUCUGAUGGAGCCGAAGACUCUGGCAGUUGGAAAUGGAAAAUUGGGUCAUGAUUUAGUGAAACUGAUCAAAACAGCGGACGCCAAGACGCUUCGCAAAAGAGGGACGACGAAUUAGCACCUUUCGUCUUCCAAAUCAAUCGGAACGAUGAAAGAAUUCAUUAUUUUUAUCACCGGAAAUAUUCGUAAAGCAGAAAAAACGAAUAUGAGGUGUGCACGUGACACGAGACUCGCGAAACGACUUUGUCAACGGUUUCAAUGUCUCAGUAACACUUUCGAUGACAGUCGGUCAUGUUCCUCCAAAGAAUUAAGUAUUUUUGUAACAUUCAAUUACGAUAAGUGCAGAGAUUUAAAUGAAUUUUGUUAUUAUCGCGGCUACUAUUCUAAUUUCUGUGAGUUUGGGACGUUGACUACGCGUUUUUCCUACUUUUUAAAGUACGAGAUUCAGCGAUAAUGACCGGAGUAAUUUAACGAUAUUCAAACUUGAAAAAACAUCGUGUAAAACAAUAAACGUACGCACGCCCAA
Molecule: unclassified non-coding RNA, 1835 nt
Filed under: Venturia canescens
Lineage: Eukaryota; Metazoa; Arthropoda; Insecta; Hymenoptera; Ichneumonidae
Description: inositol monophosphatase 1-like, transcript variant X1
Source: RNAcentral